Chelonia mydas (Green sea turtle) is the source of this 4900-nucleotide long non-coding RNA. RefSeq lists it as uncharacterized. Lineage: Eukaryota; Metazoa; Chordata; Testudines; Cheloniidae. The record is from RefSeq and is a predicted model, not a curated record. The transcript is spliced from 2 exons.
CUGCAUAGACCGACAGGGUUUCUACACCGCCUUACCCCAGCUUCACAAUCCCCGGGCAGUGUGAAGGGGACCCGACACGUACAGCUUCAUACCAACGUUGCCUUUAGUUAUAAUUAUGGAAUUUAUUCUCUGCAGGGAUGGACACCGACGGUGAAAGCAAGGUGGGCUAAGGGGUAAGGUAAAGGACCCGCAUUUAAGAGACCUGGGCUGUAGUCUGUACUCUGCCACUGAGCCAAAGCCCACUGGAAUCAAUGGGAGCGUUUCCACUGACUUUAAUUGCCCGUGUUCUAGGAACCUAGGGCAACUAUUUCAUCUAUUUGUGAGUAUCUCCCCUCUUCCCCUUUUAAUACAUUGUCCUAGUUAGAAAAUAAUCUAGCUAGGGCAAGGACUGUCAGUGUGUUUGUCUAGUUAACUUCAGAACACCAGCGCGCUGAUCUCAGGGGAGAUGCCAAGUGGCUCUUGCAUCAGAGAGAAAUAUUAACACCUCCCCCAGUGUAGCACCAGAGCCUGGAUGGAUACAACAGUUACUCACCUUCUCCUAACUGUUGUUCUGUGAGAUGUGUUGAUCAUGUCCAUUCCAAUCAGGCGUGUGGGCACUGUGUGCAGGGUAGCCAGAAGAUUUUUCCCCUAGCAGUAUCCGUAGGGUUGGCCUGGGCACCCCCUGGAGUUGCACCCUCAUGGUACUCAGUGUAGGGCCCUGCCGGCCUGAGCCGACCCUCCUUCAAUUCCUUCUUACGGGCUACUCAGACAAAGGAGUAGGAGGGUGGGUAUUGGAAUAGACAUGAACACCACAGCUUGAAGAACAAGUUAUGAGAAGGUGAGUAACCAUUUUUUCUUCUUCGAGUGAUUGAAAAUGACAUGAACCAUCAGGUGCCUCCCAAGGCUAAAUUACAGAGGCGGGGUCGGAGUUGUCCACAGAUUGGAGCACGCUCUACCAAAGGCUGCAGCGGCUCUGGCCUGCUAGACUGAUCUGUCCCCUACUAAAGUCAAAAGCAAGAGCUCUAGUUGAAUAGAAUGGUGCAGAAUGUCCCCUGAUUCCUGUUCCAGGAGGACCAGCUCCCUGUGUAAACUCCUUCUAAUUCAAGAUACUGAAAGCUAAAUCAGAAAUAAUAUUCUUUAUACUUCAGCUGUCUUUAUGAGGAAGCAGGAAGCCUGAGACACUGACACUAAUGGGAGAUAACUGAUCCUAGGACAUUCAACUGACCAGCACUUCAUGCCUGAAAGUUUUAACAUUGAACUUACCCACAUUUAUAAGUCCCCUGAACCUGUGCAAUAUUCAUAUGACCACUCAAGUUUCUUGCCAGGGCUGUAGGAAUAAUUGGGACAGAUUUCACAGGAGUGUAUUCUAAAGCAUUUGUUAUAGUAACAGCUGCCCAGUGAAAAUCAAAGUUUAGGUUGUCCAUGUUCUCUGCUGAAGUAAUGUGAACUCUUAUGGUGAGCAGUCUGGAAAGACCCAAAGAGUCUCUACUGCAUAAACUGUGUUGAAGUCCCUAGGAUAUGCAAAAAAAUUGCUGAGAUUAGUCUUUAUACACUUAAUUUAUACAUGACAAUAGGUGUAUUACAGUAAUGCCUAGGUGCCUGUGUCAUGAAUCAGGGCCAACAUUGUGCCAGGCAUUGUUUAAACACAAAGAAUCGGCCCCUUCUUCAAACAGCUCAUGACUAUAUUGAACAUAGUGAAUAGUAAUAGGAAAUGCAUCCUAUAUAUAUAUUGAACAUAGUGAAUAGUAAUAGGAAAUGCAUUUUAUAUAUGAAAAUGCGUAGUUAGUUAUGUUAAAUUGGAACACACAAAAAUCUACAAGGGCAAACGGAGGGUCCAAGAAUUAGUUUAUCAAAAACCGAGCAACAGGACAACUGCUUGCAUCCAAGAAACCCGCAUAAUACAAAUGGAUGUGUCACCACAAGGACAUUAUUCAAUGGAACAUAAAUUGCUUUUUCUAGAUAUGAAAAACCACCCUAUAAAUACAGUCACAGGGCAAGAGUAGCAAGAAAAAAAUGUUUAGCUGCCCCAGAUCCUCUGCUUCCUUGAACAGCAGCUAUACUUACUGAAGCAUCCCCUCUGGAGAAAACAAAUAUCCCUUCUCUCCCAGAAGAGUUUGGCAAGGAAGGUUUAACUUAAGCUAGGCUUAAAAUAUUUAAAGAUGUACAGCUCCCAUUUAUACAGUUUGUAGAAAAGGAAAUUGGUUCAGCUGUAAAGCCUAUUAGAUUUACAUUUGUUUACAAGUAAUAGCCUAUUUACACACAUACUCUUGUGAGUUUACCACAUUACUUCACAAGUUAUCUAUGUAACUUAAUUUUUUGUUUACGUACCAUCUCUGUAGUUACUGGUAUACUGUUUCUACACACUAACAUUUUAAUGUUUUUCAUAGUCCAGAUAACUCUCUCAAUACUUUGUGUAUUAAAAGCUGCACAAACCAUACAAGGUGCAACUUGCCCUACCAAAGAAUUCCUAACAUUUUUGUUUUAAAUUAACUGGGUCCUAAACCAAUCAUACAAACCUGUCUUGGGGUCUGAUCUUAUAAAGACUUAAGCAUGUGUUCAGCUUCAAGCAAAGGAAUAUUAUUUCUUUAAAGAUGAACGGCAGAGAAACUUAUUGCUUAUGCCUACUACUAUGCCUUUUGAUGCAAAAAAGAAUGAGGUAUUUUUCUGCUUUAUUUUUUAAACCGUGGGGAAAAAAACCAACAUCAUCAUGGCUUGCCUUACUCAUUUUGCUUGAAGGACCAACUGGAGAACUAGAGAAGGAUAAAAAAAAAUCCUAACAGACUGAAAUUUAAGAUUAGCUCUCAGACUUCAGUUGAAAUCAGUUUGAAAUACAAUUCUCAAAACUGGAAAACUAAUCAGUGUAACUAGAUAUCCUGUCCUAUCAUAACUGAAGGUUUGGAAAGCUGCAGCUUAUCUUGCGGUCUCUUGCGAUGUAAUUAUUUCAGGUUUCUCCAGCAACAAAGGGUAUGCCUACAUUGCAAUGAAAAACGCACGGCUGGCCAGUGCCAGCUGACUCAGCUUCACGGGGCUGUUGCAUUACAGUGUAGUCUUGAGGGCUCGGGCUGCAGCCCAGGCUCUAGGGCCCUGCAAGGUAGGAGGAUACCGGAACCCAGAAGUCUACACUACAAUGAAACAGCCCGAGUUGGCUGGCAAGGGCCAACCACAGGUGUCUAGUUGCUGUUUAGACAUACCCAAAGAGGGUUCUUUACUUCCCUUUGGCUUUUUGUAGGCGGGGCUAAAGGACUGAUGUUCCUGAUUAUAUAUAAACAAAAAAAUCCACCCAAAUCAUGCAUGACUUUCUUUAUAUACUGUAAAUCAACCGAUAAAGAGGGUGUAGGGUCUGGAUGGUUUUGGUUUUUUGGGGGGCACUUUGCGGAUCUUUUGAUUUCAAGAGAAUUUACUGUUGAAUAUUGCCUUGCAAACUGAAAUAAAUUAUUCACAAGAAUGAUUUGGCACCAUCAACAGAGCAAGCUCUCCCCAUAUUAUCCCACCAUUCUGGGAGAGAGUUUCAGCUAGGAGCGAAAAGGAGUUUUGUCUUCAUGCUCAUUUUGUCUUUGGAAUUUCUACUGAGACUGCCAAUAAAGGAGCUUAUUGGUGACAAUCAUGAUGUGGACUGAGAACAGCUCACUUCACAUAGGCCAUUAAAUGGUAACCUUCUGGCCUUUCCUCUUCUGGUCUGGAUUUAGAUACUGAAAGCCAUCUCGUCUCCUCUCUGUGUCACUGUUUUAAGAGAUAAGAAAGUUGCUAGGAGUGGCUUACCUUAAAAGCUAAGUUGAAGUCUUCAGAAUUGUGCACUACAAUAUCUCCGGAGGAAGAUCCCCAAGCAUUAAUUGUACAUGGAAUCAAAAAGUCCCCAGGAAGAGGUGCUGUGGGGACUUUCUCUGAACCAUCAGUUACUUCUCGACCAGGAUCAAAUCUGUCUAUUGUCAGUGAUACACCUUCAUCGUCUGGGGGGGGGAAAAAAUAAGAGUGGAUGUGGAGAAGUAUACUGUAUCCUUCAUACCAAAACCAUCAAGUUCAGUUCAUUGACCGAGGCUUGCUCAAUCACCAGAAAUGCAGAAAGAAGCAAGCCAGUGCAAACGAUUUAAUAAAACAUUCAUGUAGGUUAAAAAAAAGUUACCUUCAUCCACUGCAAGAGUCCCGAGCAAAAAACAGGAAAAGAACUUUCUUUCACUCUGCUUAGCAUGGCGAUAGGCAAGACGAAGAGCCUUCUCCAUCAUCAAUAUUUUGGGAUUUCUGGGUGGGAGGAGGAGGGAGAAAGAGAAAAGAUAAUGAAUGUGUUUAAUAACUACAUUAACAAUGAUUUCUAGGUAUAUUAUAUAAACAAGAAUAUUUUAGGUAUAGUUAGGAAGUUUUAAUAUAUAUAAUCUUUUGUCCUGAAUAAACUACUUCAAAGAAUAAACCAAUAUUUUACUACAAUGAAACAAUCCCAUGCCCUAACAGGAAGAGAUCUGGAUAUUAUAGUAAAGGAAGAAUAGUAGAAUCUAGGUGUAAUAAGCCCCUUAGAAAUUUUUUUAGCUUGAAGCUGCAUGUCUAGUUUGACCGUGAGCUGUCUGUGAAGAACAUAAGGAUGAGAGAUGACUGUAGACUGAAGUGGUCUGUGAGAAUGCUAUAAUGCGUGUCCCAAAUCCUACCUGGUCAUGGUUAGGAAAGACUUAAAAUGUAAGUCUUUAACAUACAUUUUUAACCAAUGAAUGUCUAUUUUAGAACUACCCUGUAAAGGGUUCAGGAAUACUGUGAGAAAAAUCCAUAAAGGGUAAAGGUGUAACAAAAGUACAGCCUAGUCAACUGAAAAGGAUCAGGUCUAUCAACUACUGCAAUGCCCCAUGUACACUAUGCCUCACUUUGUUCAAUGCUUAACUUCACAGAAGAUUUUGUACAAAUCUGAUUAAUCCUCCAUUAAAAGAACAUUUUUCCGUCA